CUCAGUCCUCUGCUAAAGCCCACCUGUGCUCCCGCCUGGAAAGUUGGGCUUGCAGCAGAGAGUAAGGAG
Molecule: microRNA precursor, 69 nt
Organism: Bison bison bison
Lineage: Eukaryota; Metazoa; Chordata; Mammalia; Artiodactyla; Bovidae
Source: Ensembl